CUCAAUACAUUAUGGAGCUACCACGAGACCUAGUUGAAUUUGUAUUAUUCAAAUUUCAAUAAUUAGAUCAUAUUUAGUUGACCCCAUACUACAUAAUCCAAUCAUUAGUUUUUAUUUUUUCAUUAAAGGAAAAAGACGACACAUUAGAAAUAUAUACAAUAUCAGAAGUCAAUAUAUACUUUUCUCUAACCUUCCUUGCAUGUAUUUUUUUCCGUUCGAAAUCCAUUAGCUUGAUACGGGCAUAAAUGAUUAUUAUACCCUUCUAAUUAUUCUCACUAAUUCAGGUACCAUUUUUCUGCAAUGGUUUUCUGAACCAAUAGCAUAUGUCGAAAUUUAGUCAUCGCAAAACACAGUGUCCAGGUUUUAAUUGCUCAACAGAAAUACUUAGACCAUCGCUUUACUCAUUUUUCAGGAUGAUGGUUCCCAACACAAAAUCAAAUUCUCUACUUAGCUCGUUUUUAAUCUCCCAAUUUAUCGAGAUAUUUGACUGAUCGAAUUUAUAAAAAAUUAUUGGUUAAUAAGAGAAUUAUUAUAAUUACAAAAAGAUAGACACAAUUGGGUUGAGCAGUGUGAAGAUGUGACUCUACAAAUGGCAUCUCAUUAGGAACUUCCAAGUAGUGUGGAUUAUCGCCUAUUUUUGGGUACAAUUCAGCUAUUUUUGGAUUUUCAACAGUUUUCAUUAUGCAAACUCAAGAUUGUUUAAAAUUGAAAAGUGAAAACUCAAGAUAGUUUAAAAUUGAAAACUGCUGAGUAUUUCAAUUGGAUCUUAUCUGAGUUUCUUUAUAUAAUUGAUCACAAGAACAAACACUAUUCAAGAUCCAGGUGUCACGAUCUUGUACAGUCUCGAACACAACAAUCCAGUCAAAUUUAUAUUUUCCUCUUCCUUGAAUUGUAAUCCAUUUUCUUCACCUACCAGUCAAACUCACUAACCCAAUAAAUUUAUAUUUUUGAAGGAACAUUAGUUUUUCAAGUGUAGCCCGCAUGGAUUAAAAAUGUGUUAAACCAAGGACAGCCUAUAGUUUCCAACGAAGGUAAUCAUCACCUUCCGCAGACAAUAAAUUAUUAAAUUCUCUCAUUGUUGCCUUUUCUUCUAACCUAUUACAUUAAAUUAAAUUGAAAAUAAGCAAAUGCAUUACCAUCUCACUAACCCAGUCAAUUUAAAUUUUCCUCACGUAACGGACAAACUCACUAGAAUAUAAACAUAUGAAGUUCACGUGCAUGACUAGAUUGAAUAUUAUUUUUGGUAAGUGUUCCAAAGUAAAUUAAUUUUUCAGGUCUUGCCGGUAUGGAUUAAAAAUCUGAUAAUCCCUCUUGCUCGUCACCUUCGGCAAUCGAUGAAUUUCCUUAUUGUUGCUUUUUCUUCUAUGGUAUAGCAGAAUUAAAUUAAAAAUAACCAAAUGCUUUAUCUUCUCACUAACCUAGUGACUACAAUUGCAAUUACAAUUACAACAUUAUAAUAAGUUUAUAAUUACAAUUACAAUUAAGUUUAUAAAUUUUAUAGUAAUUACAAUUAAGUUGAAAACUUAUAAUAAUUGUAAUUAAGACCAAUACUUUUAUAAUAAUUGCAAGUAAAUCUCAAUACAUUAUGGAGCUACCACGAGAUCUAGUUGAAUUUGUAUUAUUCAAAUUUCAAUAAUUAGAUCAUAUUUAGUUGACCCCAUACUACAUAAUCUAAUCAUUAGUUUUUAUUUUUUCAUUAAAGGAAAAAGACGACACAUUAGAAAUAUAUACAAUAUCAGAAGUCAAUAUAUACUUUUCUCUAACCUUCCUUGCAUGUAUUUUUUUUCCGUUCGAAAUCCAUUAACUUGAUACAGGCAUAAAUGAUUAUUUUACCCUUCUAAUUAUUCUCACUAAUUUAGGUACCAUUUUUCUGCAAUGGUUUUGUGAACCAAUAACAUAUGUCGAAAUUUAGUCAUAGCAAAACACAGUGUCCAGGUUUUAAUUGCUCAACAGAAAUACUUAAACAAUCACUUUACUCAUUUUUCAUGAUGAUGGUUCCCGUCACAAAAUCCAAUUCUCUACUUAGCUCGUUUUUAAUCUCUCAAUUUAUCGAGAUAUUUGACUGAUAAAAUUUAUAAAAAAAUUAUUGGUUAAUAAGAGAAUCAUUAUAAUUACAAAAAGAUAGACACAAUUGUGUUGAGUUUAGAUAAAAUACAUGAAAAUCAUGUGGAAUUGAAUUCUUUGUACUGUCAUGCUAUAGAAUUAAACUCGACACGUGAUCAUUUCAAUGCAUUCCAAGUGUAAUACACCUUUAACUAUUUUUGAAAUAAGCACAAAUCAUAAAUCUGGCUAUUGAAUUGUUCAACACUACAAUCUUUUAACACGACGUGCCUACCCUUAUAUAUUGGUUGUAAACAAUUUAUUUAUGAUCAAAAUAUAAAUUGUGUCACAUUGUUUUUCUCAAUGCAAGUAUCUAACUUAUAUUAUUUCGAGUAAUCAUAGAUACUUUAAUUCGCAUUUUCAAUAAUAAAUAAAUAUAAAAAAUAAAUAAAAUUACAAUUUAUUUUUCAUAAAAUAUUAUUUUAUCAUAGCAAAAAUUAUCAUAUGAGCGCUUAACUAGAAAAAUUCCUUGAUGCUUAAGUUAACAUAUUUCAAGCUCAGGAUUUUGAAUUUUUUUUUCAUUUUUUAAGAGAGUUUAAGAUUGCAUAUCUUUCUAGUUGGAAAUGAUUUCUUUAUGCCCCUAUUUGGUUUAAUUUAAGAUAAAGUCAACAAUUAAUUAUAACAAUAUAUUUUAUGGAAUCCACAACUUUUCAAUCACAUAUCUCAUUAACUUUUAUCAAGUUUACUGAAAAUAUAAUUUUAAUUCCAUUGAAACAUAGGCUAUACAAUGUUUUCAAGAAUUAACAACACUCAUCAUUUCAUUUACUGUCAAUCACUUUCAAUAAGCAGCAACAUUAGGAUGGCAUGUCAGAGUAAUUAUUCAUUUGGUAUAAGAAAAAACCAAGAAAUAGUUAAAAAUCAAAUGAAUAACUCACAUUGAACGCUGAAGUACGAGUGGUGUAAUUCACAUCUCGAAGCAAAAUCUUUAUCCGGACGAGGAGUGCGGCCUUCCGAGUUGUACUUUCUAAUCACAAGCUUUAUCAUCUCCUCAACACUGGAUCCUAAUUUCACCAUUGUUCGGAUUGGCCCAGGACUUCCCUCCAAUGUUACAUUAACUACAACCUUGGAGUGUUUGUUGUACCUCUACACACCAAAUUUCUCACAGAAAUUAAACAUCGUACCAUCAAUAAAAUUUCAAAUUUGUUCCUCAUUAAACAUGUUCAACUCAAUACAAUUCAAAAUAAUGAAGACUACAAUGAAGAGCUAAUAAAUAAAAAGGUGUCCCAAACAUUUCGUAGUAAAAGUAUAAGGUUAUGUUUAGGAUCCAAAUUCUUCACAUAAUAUAUACAUAUAAGAUUUUAAUUUUUUUUUUUCAUUUUUAUCAUGUUUAGUACUCCAUAUUAAACAUGUUACAAGAGUUCAAGAGUUUUAGUGCGAGUUCUCUAUGAGUGUAUGAAAAUGCAAUAUAUUGCAACCUUAUAUUAGAUGAAUUUAAACGACCAUAAUUGAAACUCCAUAGCUGAAGGAAAAGAUGCCGAGAGGAAAGUAGAGAAACGAAAUGAGUGGAUUAAAUUUAUAUGUGGGUAGAGCAUAUGUUCAAAUGGCCAUGCCAUAGGCCAAUGUGUUCACAAACUGAAUUGCAUAUGAGCACCCACUUUGAUUAACAUCUUCGUCAACAUUAUACCUGAAAUUCGUCAACAACGACGGUUUAAUUUGCAUGGCCACGUCAGCUGUUGACACAUUUUAUUUAGUCCGCAAUGGGGAAAAGAACAAUUCUACGAACAGUAAUACCAUAGAUGGAUGAUGGAUUUAAUGCUCUCAACAUAACAUUUUGUGUUCUAUCUAGGUAUAGUGGUAUUCUCUAUAAUAGAUGAAUGGAGGUUGAGUCGAAUGAUAAUACCUGCAGCUAGUGAGUUAAUGCUGCAAGAAGAUGCAGCACUGUAUUGCCUUGCUCAUCUCUAAAUCUUAUAACUGCUAUGUCGUCACUUCUAUGAACCUCUUUUAAGUUUUUGUUUCUGACUGCAAUACGCACAGCAGUUUCAUCUGAUUCCGCUGCAUAAUGCAAUGGAGUGAUUCCUUCCCUCCCUGGGACACAAACGAGGUCCGGAUUAUGUCUGACAAGCCGCUUCACAGUGGUGAUGUGUCUAUUACGCAAAGACAGGUCCAAAGAGGUGCGACCAUCAAGGUUCAAUUUCCUCCCUAGUGUAGGCUUUAGCCUCGAGAUUUCAAGAGCAAGGCUGGUCCGGGCUUUGGAAGCAGCUAUAUGGAGAGGUGUUUCUGCAAAUGGCAUCUCACUGGGGACUUCCAAUUACAGUGGAUUCUCGCAUAUUGAGCAAUGUCCAUUCAAGUUUUUUGAACUGACGCUAGUGUGUAAAUGAAAAGUGCUCGAGUAUAGAAUACUAGCAUUCUUAGUUUCUUUAUAUAGUAUAAUCUAAUGGUUUUUUUCGCCUAUAUAUGAAUUAAAAAUAUACAAAUUAUUUUUCCCGUUUCCUUCCCGUGUGAAUUUCCUCAUUCUAUGGUUCUAGUUUAUCGGGUCUUUUCA
RNAcentral lists this long non-coding RNA (4582 nucleotides) under Olea europaea subsp. europaea. Lineage: Eukaryota; Viridiplantae; Streptophyta; Magnoliopsida; Lamiales; Oleaceae. The record is from RNAcentral.